GCGUAAAGCGCACGCAGGCGGUCUGUCAAGUCGGAUGUGAAAUCCCCGGGCUCAACCUGGGAACUGCAUUCGAAACUGGCAGGCUAGAGUCUUGUAGAGGGGGGUAGAAUUCCAGGUGUAGCGGUGAAAUGCGUAGAGAUCUGGAGGAAUACCGGUGGCGAAGGCGGCCCCCUGGACAAAGACUGACGCUCAGGUGCGAAAGCGUGGGGAGCAAACAGGAUUAGAUACCCUGGUAGUCCACGCCGUAAACGAUGUCGACUUGGAGGUUGUGCCCUUGAGGCGUGGCUUCCGGAGCUAACGCGUUAAGUCGACCGCCUGGGGAGUACGGCCGCAAGGUUAAAACUCAAAUGAAUUGACGGGGGCCCGCACAAGCGGUGGAGCAUGUGGUUUAAUUCGAUGCAACGCGAAGAACCUUACCUACUCUUGACAUCCAGAGAACUUAGCAGAGAUGCUUUGGUGCCUUCGGGAACUCUGAGACAGGUGCUGCAUGGCUGUCGUCAGCUCGUGUUGUGAAAUGUUGGGUUAAGUCCCGCAACGAGCGCAACCCUUAUCCUUUGUUGCCAGCGGUCCGGCCGGGAACUCAAAGGAGACUGCCAGUGAUAAACUGGAGGAAGGUGGGGAUGA
This 624-nucleotide ribosomal RNA is filed under the name Enterobacter ludwigii. RNAcentral describes it as "bacterial SSU rRNA". It matches the Rfam family "Bacterial small subunit ribosomal RNA", at positions 558 to 1182 of the family's 1533-position model. The record is from RNAcentral. Lineage: Bacteria; Pseudomonadati; Pseudomonadota; Gammaproteobacteria; Enterobacterales; Enterobacteriaceae.